AGCAGCAGCCGCGGGAAUACGAAGGGUGCAAGCGUUAAUCGGAAUUACUGGGCGUAAAGCGUGCGUAGGCGGUUUGUUAAGUCUGCUGUGAAAUCCCCGGGCUCAACCUGGGAAUGGCAGUGGAUACUGGCAAGCUAGAGUGUGUCAGAGGAUGGUGGAAUUCCCGGUGUAGCGGUGAAAUGCGUAGAGAUCGGGAGGAACAUCAGUGGCGAAGGCGGCCAUCUGGGACAACACUGACGCUGAGGCACGAAAGCGUGGGGAGCAAACAGGAUUAGAUACCCGAGUAGUCCCUGUCUCUUAUAC
RNAcentral lists this ribosomal RNA (303 nucleotides) under uncultured bacterium. Its description in RNAcentral is "partial 16S ribosomal RNA". It matches the Rfam family "Bacterial small subunit ribosomal RNA", at positions 507 to 807 of the family's 1533-position model. The record is from RNAcentral.